GCCUCCCCCAUCAUCAGGUCAUGAUUUAUGACAUGGUUCACCAAAGACUCUCUGCCUCCCCCAUCAUCAGGUCAUGAUUUAUGACAUGGUUCACCAAAGACUCUCUGCCUCCCCCAUCAUCAGGUCAUGAUUUAUGACAUGGUUCACCAAAUACUCUCUGCCUCCCCCAUCUUCAGGUCAUGAUUUAUGACAUGGUUCACCAAAGACUCUCUGCCUCCCCCAUCUUCAGGUCAUGAUUUAUGACAUGGUUCACCAAAGACUCUCUGCCUCCCCCAUCUUCAGGUCAUGAUUUAUGACAUAGUUCACCAAAGACUCUCUGCCUCCCCCAUCAUCAGGUCAUUAUUUAUGACAUGGUUCACCAAAUACUCUCUGCCU
Long non-coding RNA from Esox lucius (northern pike), 375 nucleotides. Lineage: Eukaryota; Metazoa; Chordata; Actinopteri; Esociformes; Esocidae. The record is from Ensembl.